AGGGGUGCCGGCGGGCGGGAUGUUGUGCACGGAGGAUGGGGAGCAAAAGAAAAACAAGUUCUCCUUUUCUUGACGUUUCUGCGCCCGCCCACUUAUUAAAUUGAUGGAUUGAGGGGAAAGAACGUUGGCGCUGUUGGCGAGAGAGCGCAGCAUGCCAAGAGAGUGCUUUCGUCAGUAUCUGGCUCACAGAUUUGUAAAUUUGGUCAACGUCUCAAAAACUGAAAGCAGCAUUCUUCAGAUUUCCACUAAAGUUAUUAGUGUAAGGUGUAAGACCUUGCUUUGAAAACUAAACCUCGUGACUGGAUAUCUUGGACUGGGAACAAAAUGACGUAAAUAUGCAGAAGUUAUUGUCAAGCCUGUGAAAAGAAAAUCUAUUGUUAAACAAUACAUCACUGUAAAAAAACGUUUUGUAUCAUAUAUUUAUGUGUGUUUAGUUAAUAAAAAAUAUAAAAUUUG
This is a long non-coding RNA of Uloborus diversus, 456 nucleotides long. RefSeq lists it as uncharacterized. NCBI's taxonomy places the organism in Eukaryota, Metazoa, Arthropoda, Arachnida, Araneae, Uloboridae. The record is from RefSeq and is a predicted model, not a curated record. The transcript is spliced from 4 exons.